RNAcentral lists this ribosomal RNA (726 nucleotides) under uncultured bacterium. Its description in RNAcentral is "bacterial SSU rRNA". It matches the Rfam family "Bacterial small subunit ribosomal RNA", at positions 60 to 771 of the family's 1533-position model. The record is from RNAcentral.
AGUCGAGGGGCAACGGGGAUGUUAGCUUGCUAAUAUCUGCCGGCGACCGGCGCACGGGUGAGUAACGCGUAUGCGACCUGCCCGUCACAGGGGGAUAAUCCGGAGAAAUCCGGUCUAAUACCGCAUAAUAUCGUGAAUCUGCAUGGAUUUGCGAUUAAAGGAGCGAUCCGGUGACGGAUGGGCAUGCGUGACAUUAGCUAGUCGGCGGGGUAACGGCCCACCGAGGCGACGAUGUCUAGGGGUUCUGAGAGGAAGGUCCCCCACACUGGUACUGAGACACGGACCAGACUCCUACGGGAGGCAGCAGUGAGGAAUAUUGGUCAAUGGGCUUACGCCUGAACCAGCCAAGUCGCGUGAGGGAAGACUGCCCUAUGGGUUGUAAACCUCUUUUGUCAGGGAGCAACGCCGGCUACGUGUAGCCGGACUGAGAGUACCUGAAGAAAAAGCAUCGGCUAACUCCGUGCCAGCAGCCGCGGUAAUACGGAGGAUGCGAGCGUUAUCCGGAUUUAUUGGGUUUAAAGGGUGCGUAGGCGGAAUGCCAAGUCAGCGGUAAAAUCGCGGGGCUCAACCUCGCUCCGCCGUUGAAACUGGCGUUCUUGAGUGGGCGAGAAGUAUGCGGAAUGCGUGGUGUAGCGGUGAAAUGCAUAGAUAUCACGCAGAACUCCGAUUGCGAAGGCAGCAUACCGGCGCCCAACUGACGCUGAAGCACGAAAGCGUGGGUAUCGA